AGAAGGGGAUGGGGAAAGGAAACAAACAUUUAUUAAGCGCCUACUACACGCCAGGCUCUGUGUCAAGCGCUUUACGAAUAUUUCAUUUGAUUUAAUUUAAAUGAAUAAAGACAUGGGGACAUUUCAUCGCGGGUCCUUCGAUGAGGCAGGCGCUGUCACCCCGGGGUCCGGGUGUCCAUUGGGAGACCAGCACUGGGCCCUUCUCUUCCCAUCACCUCUCGCUUCUCCCCCAGCUAUCAAACGCCUGUCAAAGCUACCUCUUAACUGCGCAUGUCCGUUCUGUAUUGGCCCCGCCCGCUUUGUUUGUCCUGCUUUCGAAUUGGCUCUUCUUCGAUUUCCGGCAACCCCAGGAGGUUUCCGCUGUCAUGGCGGCCUGAGGUUUCUACCGUCGCGCUGGUCGCUACGGCCGUCCGUCAGGCGGCGGAGUUGCUAGCCCGGCGGACGGGGAUGUGACCGCGGGCCCCGCCGGCCUGUCCUGGGCUCCGCGCCAGCUCUCCUGCCCGUCUCCCGCCUUCCUGUCUGCCCGCCAUGGCGGGGUCUGGCUGCGUGUGGGGCGCGGAGCCGCCCCGUUUCCUGGAGGCCUUCGGACGGCUCUGGCAGGUGCAGAGCCGGCUGGGCAGCGGCUCCUCUGCCUCCGUGUACCGGGUGCGUUGCUGCGGGACUCCCGGAUCGCCGCCCGGGGCCCUCAAGCAAUUCCUGCCGCCCGGCACCACCGGGGCUGCUGCCUCGGCCGCGGAAUACGGCUUCCGCAAGGAGAGGGCGGCGCUGGAGCAGUUACAGGGCCACCGAAACAUCGUGACUCUGUAUGGAGUAUUUACGAUCCAGUUUUCUCCAAAUAUGCCAUCACGCUGUCUACUUCUUGAACUACUGGAUGUCAGUGUUUCGGAACUGCUUUUAUAUUCUAGUCACCAAGGGUGUUCCAUGUGGAUGAUCCAGCACUGUGCCAGAGAUGUUUUGGAGGCCCUGGCUUUUCUUCAUCAUGAGGGUUAUGUCCAUGCAGACCUAAAGCCACGUAAUAUACUAUGGAGUGCAGAAAAUGAGUGCUUUAAACUCAUUGACUUUGGUCUUAGCUUCAAAGAAGGCAAUCAGGAUGUAAAGUAUAUCCAGACAGACGGGUAUCGGGCUCCAGAAGCAGAAUUGCAGAAUUGUUUGGCCCAGGCUGGGUUACAGAGUGAAACGGAAUGUACCUCAGCUGUUGAUUUGUGGAGCCUCGGAAUCAUCUUACUGGAAAUGUUCUCAGGAAUGAAACUGAAACAUACGGUCAGAUCUCAGGAAUGGAAGGCAAACAGUUCAGCUAUCAUUGAUCAUAUAUUUGCCAGUAAAGCUGUGGUGACCUCUGCAAUCCCAGCCUAUCACCUCAGAGACCUUAUCAAAAGCAUGCUUCAUGAUGAUCCGGGCAGAAGAAUUCCAGCUGACAUGGCGCUGUGCAGUCCUUUCUUUAGCAUUCCUUUUGCCCCUCAUAUUGAAGAUUUGGUAAUGCUUCCUACUCCCGUGCUAAGAUUGUUGAAUGUGUUGGAUGAUGACUAUCUUGAGAAUGAGGAAGAAUAUGAAGAUGUGGUAGAAGAUGUGAGAGAGGAGUGUCAGAAGUAUGGGCCAGUGGUGUCUCUGCUUGUUCCAAAGGAGAAUCCUGGCAGAGGUCAGGUUUAGAAUAUACUACAUUGGAUAUUUAAGAGACACUCUGAAUACAUUAUCUUAUAACCACCCUGUGAGGAAUGACCAGCAGGAUGAAUACAGAGAGGCUUGGAGAGACCUACAUGGACUGAUGCUAAGUGAGAUGAGCAGAACCAGGAGAUCAUUAUACACUUCAACAACGAUAUUGUAUGAGGAUGUAUUCUGAUGGAAGUGGAUUUCUAUGACAAAGAGACCUAACUGAGUUUCAAUGGAUAAAUGAUGGACAGAAACAGCUACACCCAAAGAAGGAACACUGGGAAAUGAAUGUGAACUAUUUGCAUUUUUGAUUUUCUUCCCGAGUUAUUUUUACCUUCUGAAUCCAAUUCUCCCUGUGCAACAGGAGAACUGUUCGGUUCUGCAAAUAUGUAUUGUAUCUAGGAUAUACUGCAACAUAUUUAACA
Antechinus flavipes (yellow-footed antechinus) is the source of this 2072-nucleotide RNA transcript. It is a transcript of the gene named U2AF homology motif kinase 1, with no coding region annotated. The record is from RefSeq and is a predicted model, not a curated record. NCBI's taxonomy places the organism in Eukaryota, Metazoa, Chordata, Mammalia, Dasyuromorphia, Dasyuridae. The transcript is spliced from 9 exons.